RNAcentral lists this ribosomal RNA (253 nucleotides) under uncultured bacterium. RNAcentral describes it as "partial 16S ribosomal RNA". It matches the Rfam family "Bacterial small subunit ribosomal RNA", at positions 524 to 776 of the family's 1533-position model. The record is from RNAcentral.
UACGUAGGGUGCAAGCGUUAUCCGGAUUUAUUGGGCGUAAAGGGCUCGUAGGCGGUUCGUCGCGUCCGGUGUGAAAGUCCAUCGCUUAACGGUGGAUCCGCGCCGGGUACGGGCGGGCUUGAGUGCGGUAGGGGAGACUGGAAUUCCCGGUGUAACGGUGGAAUGUGUAGAUAUCGGGAAGAACACCAAUGGCGAAGGCAGGUCUCUGGGCCGUUACUGACGCUGAGGCUCGAAAGCGUGGGGAGCGAACAGG